This 468-nucleotide ribosomal RNA is filed under the name uncultured bacterium. RNAcentral's name for it is "partial 16S ribosomal RNA". It matches the Rfam family "Bacterial small subunit ribosomal RNA", at positions 28 to 507 of the family's 1533-position model. The record is from RNAcentral.
GACGAACGCUGGCGGCGUGCUUAACACAUGCAAGUCGAACGGAAAGGCCCUGCUUUUGUGGGGUGCUCGAGUGGCGAACGGGUGAGUAACACGUGAGUAACCUGCCCUUGACUUUGGGAUAACUUCAGGAAACUGGGGCUAAUACCGGAUAGGAGCUCCUGCUGCAUGGUGGGGGUUGGAAAGUUUCGGCGGUUGGGGAUGGACUCGCGGCUUAUCAGCUUGUUGGUGGGGUAGUGGCUUACCAAGGCUUUGACGGGUAGCCGGCCUGAGAGGGUGACCGGCGACAUUGGGACUGAGAUACGGCCCAGACUCGUACGGGAGGCAGCAGUGGGGAAUAUUGCACAAUGGGCGGAAGCCUGAUGCAGCAACGCCGCGUGCGGGAUGACGGCCUUCGGGUUGUAAACCGCUUUAGCCUGUGACGAAGCGUGAGUGACGGUAAUGGGUAAAGAAGCACCGGCUAACUACGUG